AGUGAGUAGGACGACAGAAAAACUAAUAAUGUUGAACUUUGCUUACACAGCCGUUUGUAGCGCUAAACGUGUCCAUGUGGGUUAUCUCUAAAGUCUAAACAAUAAUAGAGGGUAGUGGUCCCAGUUUGGUCAUUGUGCUCCCCAUUGGCUUUAUUAUAGAAAGCUGACCUACCCUCACUUGCACGCCAUGACCAAGGCUCUCUCCGCACUAUUAAUUUGUGGAAUUAGUGCAUCCGAAUCCCAAAUUGGCUGAGAGAGAACGGAAAGAGGGAAGAGCUUGAGGAAGUUAUGGGAUAUGGGAGGACCGGCAAAUUAGCAUAGCAAAUCUCAUCUGAAUUUUUGGAUGAUAUUUCUAUUUAUUUUGCCGAUUCCACCCAUGCCUAUGAUUUCCUCUCGUUCCUCUCUUUCUACUCGCCUCUCCCCUCUCACUUAUUCCUUUUUGAGCUCCACGACAAGGCUAAAUUUUCUUAUUGAUCAAUAGAUCCACGAUUCCAGUUCGGUAUGCUUACUAAUAAUAAAUAUAUAUAGUACUAGAUAUUUUUAUCCUCUAUGUUUCAAGAGGAACUACUGUUAAAUAGUUUCUAAACAUUAUUGUGUAUCGUUAUCGCUGCUAAUAGUUACCGCUUGAUCCUUCAUAUUCCACCAUUAACAACAGAAAGGGGACAUCUGUAUUCUAUUUUCUUUUCA
Arachis ipaensis is the source of this 687-nucleotide non-coding RNA. Lineage: Eukaryota; Viridiplantae; Streptophyta; Magnoliopsida; Fabales; Fabaceae. The record is from RefSeq and is a predicted model, not a curated record.